UACGAAGGGGGCUAGCGUUGCUCGGAAUCACUGGGCGUAAAGCGCACGUAGGCGGAUCUUUAAGUCAGGGGUGAAAUCCUGGAGCUCAACUGCGGAACUGCAUCGGAUACUCUCCGGCUAGAGGAAUGGAGGGGAGACUGGAAUACUUGGUGUAGCAGUGAAAUGCGUAGAUAUCAAGUGGAACACCAGUGGCGAAGGCGAGUCUCUGGACGAUUCCUGACACUGAGGCACGAAAGCCAGGGGAGCAAACGGG
RNAcentral lists this ribosomal RNA (253 nucleotides) under uncultured bacterium. RNAcentral describes it as "partial 16S ribosomal RNA". It matches the Rfam family "Bacterial small subunit ribosomal RNA", at positions 524 to 776 of the family's 1533-position model. The record is from RNAcentral.